AAAAAAGGUAAGCUACUAAGAGCGAAUGGUGGAUGCCUUGACUGGUAAAGGCGAUGAAGGACGUACUAGACUGCGAUAAGCUACGGGGAGCUGUCAAGAAGCUUUGAUCCGUAGAUUUCCGAAUGGGGCAACCCAAUGUAUAGAGAUAUACAUUACCUAUAUAGGAGCGAACGAGGGGAAUUGAAACAUCUUAGUACCCUCAGGAAAAGAAAUCAAUAGAGAUUGCGUCAGUAGCGGCGAGCGAAAGCGCAAGAGGGCAAACCCAGUGCUUGCACUGGGGGUUGUAGGACUGCAAUGUGCAAGAGGUGAGUUUAGCAGAACAUUCUGGAAAGUAUAGCCAUAGAGGGUGAUAGUCCCGUAUGCGAAAAACAAACCUUAGCUAGCAGUAUCCUGAGUAGGGCGGGACACGAGAAAUCCUGUCUGAAGCUGGGUCGACCACGAUCCAACCCUAAAUACUAAUACCAGAUCGAUAGUGCACAAGUACCGUGAGGGAAAGGUGAAAAGAACUGAGGUGAUCAGAGUGAAAUAGAACCUGAAACCAUUUGCUUACAAUCAUUCAGAGCCCUAUGUAGCAAUACAGGGUGAUGGACUGCCUUUUGCAUAAUGAGCCUGCGAGUUGUGGUGUCUGGCAAGGUUAAGCAAACGCGAAGCCGUAGCGAAAGCGAGUCUGAAUAGGGCGCUUAGUCAGAUGCUGCAGACCCGAAACGAAGUGAUCUAUCCAUGAGCAAGUUGAAGCUAGUGUAAGAACUAGUGGAGGACUGAACCCAUAGGCGUUGAAAAGCCCCGGGAUGACUUGUGGAUAGGGGUGAAAGGCCAAUCAAACUUCGUGAUAGCUGGUUCUCUCCGAAAUAUAUUUAGGUAUAGCGUUGUGUCGUAAUAUAAGGGGGUAGAGCACUGAAUGGGCUAGGGCAUACACCAAUGUACCAAACCCUAUCAAACUCCGAAUACCUUAUAUGUAAUCACAGCAGUCAGGCGGCGAGUGAUAAAAUCCGUCGUCAAGAGGGAAACAACCCAGACUACCAGCUAAGGUCCCUAAAUCUUACUUAAGUGGAAAACGAUGUGAAGUUACUUAAACAACCAGGAGGUUGGCUUAGAAGCAGCCAUCCUUUAAAGAAAGCGUAAUAGCUCACUGGUCUAGUGAUUUUGCGCGGAAAAUAUAACGGGGCUAAAGUAAGUACCGAAGCUGUAGACUUGCGCACAACUUAGAUUAUUUAAGUUUAGAAUAUGAGAAACUAAGUUAUAUGUUUAGUUAUAUUUUUACUGAUUUUUAUAGAGUAAAGAUAGAAAUAAAACUUAGUAAAAUCAGUAAAAAUAUUCUUAGACUAAAGUUAAGUAGUUUAAGUUGUGUGCAAGUGGUAGGAGAGCGUUCUAUUUGCGUCGAAGGUAUACCGGUAAGGAGUGCUGGAGCGAAUAGAAGUGAGCAUGCAGGCAUGAGUAGCGAUAAUUAAUGUGAGAAUCAUUAACGCCGUAAACCCAAGGUUUCCUACGCGAUGCUCGUCAUCGUAGGGUUAGUCGGGUCCUAAGUCGAGUCCGAAAGGGGUAGACGAUGGCAAAUUGGUUAAUAUUCCAAUACCAACAUUAGUGUGCGAUGGAAGGACGCUUAGGGCUAAGGGGGCUAGCGGAUGGAAGUGCU
RNAcentral lists this ribosomal RNA (1633 nucleotides) under Campylobacter coli. Its description in RNAcentral is "partial 23S ribosomal RNA". It matches the Rfam family "Bacterial large subunit ribosomal RNA", at positions 1 to 1508 of the family's 2925-position model. Lineage: Bacteria; Pseudomonadati; Campylobacterota; Epsilonproteobacteria; Campylobacterales; Campylobacteraceae. The record is from RNAcentral.